This 1367-nucleotide ribosomal RNA is filed under the name uncultured bacterium. Its description in RNAcentral is "bacterial SSU rRNA". It matches the Rfam family "Bacterial small subunit ribosomal RNA". The record is from RNAcentral.
UNAGAGUUUGUUCCUGGCUCAGGAUGAACGCUGGCGGCGUGCCUAACACAUGCAAGUCGAGCGAUUCUCUUUGGAGAAGAGCGGCGGACGGGUGAGUAACGCGUGGGUAACCUGCCCUGUACACACGGAUAACAUACCGAAAGGUAUACUAAUACGGGAUAAUAUAAGAAAUUCGCAUGUUUUUCUUAUCAAAGCUCCGGCGGUACAGGAUGGACCCGCGUCUGAUUAGCUAGUUGGUGAGGUAAUGGCUCACCAAGGCGACGAUCAGUAGCCGACCUGAGAGGGUGAUCGGCCACAUUGGAACUGAGACACGGUCCAAACUCCUACGGGAGGCAGCAGUGGGGAAUAUUGCACAAUGGGCGAAAGCCUGAUGCAGCAACGCCGCGUGAGCGAUGAAGGCCUUCGGGUCGUAAAGCUCUGUCCUCAAGGAAGAUAAUGACGGUACUUGAGGAGGAAGCCCCGGCUAACUACGUGCCAGCAGCCGCGGUAAUACGUAGGGGGCUAGCGUUAUCCGGAUUUACUGGGCGUAAAGGGUGCGUAGGCGGUCUUUUAAGUCAGGAGUGAAAGGCUACGGCUCAACCGUAGUAAGCUCUUGAAACUGGAGGACUUGAGUGCAGGAGAGGAGAGUGGAAUUCCUAGUGUAGCGGUGAAAUGCGUAGAUAUUAGGAGGAACACCAGUAGCGAAGGCGGCUCUCUGGACUGUAACUGACGCUGAGGCACGAAAGCGUGGGGAGCAAACAAGAUUAGAUACCCUGGUAGUCCACGCCGUAAACGAUGAGUACUACCUGGUCGAAGGUUACCCCCUUCGGUGGCCGCAGCUAACGCAUUAAGUACUCCGCCUGGGGAGUACGCUCGCAAGAGUGAAAACUCAAAGGAAUUGACGGGGACCCGCACAAGUAGCGGAGCAUGUGGUUUAAUUCGAAGCAACGCGAAGAACCUUACCUAAGCUUGACAUCCUUUUGACCGAUGCCUAAUCGCAUUUUUCCAUUCGGGGACAGAAGUGACAGGUGGUGCAUGGUUGUCGUCAGCUCGUGUCGUGAGAUGUUGGGUUAAGUCCCGCAACGAGCGCAACCCUUGCCUUUAGUUGCCAUCAUUAAGUUGGGCACUCUAGAGGGACUGCCAGGGAUAACCUGGAGGAAGGUGGGGAUGACGUCAAAUCAUCAUGCCCCUUAUGCUUAGGGCUACACACGUGCUACAAUGGGUGGUACAGAGGGCAGCGAAGUCGUGAGGCCAAGCUAAUCCCUUAAAGCCAUUCUCAGUUCGGAUCGUAGGCUGAAACUCGCCUACAUGAAGCUGGAGUUACUAGUAAUCGCAGAUCAGAAUGCUGCGGUGAAUGCGUUCCCGGGUCUUGCACUCACCGCCCGUCA